GGUAAAGUGACUGUACAUAGAUAAUAAACAGUAGUACAGGUUAGUUGAGGUAGAUAUGUACAUGUAGGUGGGGGUAAAGUGACUGUACAUAGAUAAUAAACAGUAGUACAGGUUAGUUGAGGUAGAUAUGUACAUGUAGGUGGGGGUAAAGUGACUGUACAUAGAUAAUAAACAGUAGUACAGGUUAGUUGAGGUAGAUAUGUACAUGUAGGUGGGGGUAAAGUGACUGUACAUAGAUAAUAAACAGUAGUACAGGUUAGUUGAGGUAGAUAUG
This is a long non-coding RNA of Oncorhynchus keta (chum salmon), 274 nucleotides long. RefSeq lists it as uncharacterized. NCBI's taxonomy places the organism in Eukaryota, Metazoa, Chordata, Actinopteri, Salmoniformes, Salmonidae. The record is from RefSeq and is a predicted model, not a curated record. The transcript has 3 exons.